This 69-nucleotide transfer RNA is filed under the name Marmota monax (woodchuck). RNAcentral describes it as "tRNA.Ala". Lineage: Eukaryota; Metazoa; Chordata; Mammalia; Rodentia; Sciuridae. The record is from RNAcentral.
GUUUGUAGCUCAGAGGUAGAGCACUUGCCUAGCACAUGUGAGGCACUGGGUUUGAUCCUCAGCAGCACA